This is a long non-coding RNA of Mauremys reevesii (Reeves's turtle), 400 nucleotides long. RefSeq lists it as uncharacterized. The transcript has 2 exons. The record is from RefSeq and is a predicted model, not a curated record. Lineage: Eukaryota; Metazoa; Chordata; Testudines; Geoemydidae.
UUCAUUCUAACCAGCGGCCAUAGCCUACAAAAUACAACUGCCCACAACCUGUCACAGACCUCUUUGGAAUCUCCUGCCCAGUCAUCUCCUUCUCUUCCCCCCUCACCUCCUUAAAAGCCAAUUGGAGGCACCAAAUACAUAAAGUUGAGAAGAGAGCACCAAGAAUGGGAAUCCGUGAUGAGAGGGACAUCAACAGGGCAAUGAGGAGCUGUGACAGGGGAAGACAGGACAAAGUGCACUGGAUGUUUCGCUGCCGAGUGGGAGCACAAGAAGUGGGCACAUCACCCUGGUUGGCCACCUCUCUCCUCUUAUUACCGUUAUGUUCUUGCUGUACAUAUGGAGAAUUUCAAUAAAAACAGCAAUGCUCUUCCGGGAAGGUGGCUGGUAGAGCCAAAAUUGA